UCCCUGGUGGUUCAGUGGUUAAGACUCUGUGCUCCCAAUGCAGGGAGCCCAGGUUUGAUUCCUGGUCAAGGGA
Molecule: transfer RNA, 73 nt
Filed under: Bos taurus (domestic cattle)
Lineage: Eukaryota; Metazoa; Chordata; Mammalia; Artiodactyla; Bovidae
Also listed under: 4 other names
Rfam family: tRNA
About the family: Transfer RNA (tRNA) molecules are approximately 80 nucleotides in length.
Source: Rfam by way of RNAcentral